GAUGAACGCUGGCGGCGUGCUUAACACAUGCAAGUCGAACGAAGCACUCUACUUGAUCUCUUCGGAGUGAUUGUUUUGUGACUGAGUGGCGGACGGGUGAGUAACGCGUGGGUAACCUGCCUCAUACAGGGGGAUAACAGUUGGAAACGACUGCUAAUACCGCAUAAGCGCACAGGGUCGCAUGACCUGGUGUGAAAAACUCCGGUGGUAUGAGAUGGACCCGCGUCUGAUUAGCCAGUUGGUGGGGUAACGGCCUACCAAAGCGACGAUCAGUAGCCGACCUGAGAGGGUGACCGGCCACAUUGGGACUGAGACACGGCCCAAACUCCUACGGGAGGCAGCAGUGGGGAAUAUUGCACAAUGGGGGAAACCCUGAUGCAGCGACGCCGCGUGAGCGAAGAAGUAUUUCGGUAUGUAAAGCUCUAUCAGCAGGGAAGAAGAAAUGACGG
This 449-nucleotide ribosomal RNA is filed under the name uncultured bacterium. RNAcentral describes it as "bacterial SSU rRNA". It matches the Rfam family "Bacterial small subunit ribosomal RNA", at positions 28 to 475 of the family's 1533-position model. The record is from RNAcentral.